CCUACGGGGGGCAGCAGUGGGGAAUUUUGGACAAUGGGGGCAACCCUGAUCCAGCCAUUCCGCGUGAGUGAAGAAGGCCUUCGGGUUGUAAAGCUCUUUUGUCCGGAGCGAAACGGGCGGCCCUAAUACGGUCGUCUACUGACGGUACCGGAAGAAUAAGCACCGGCUAACUACGUGCCAGCAGCCGCGGUAAUACGUAGGGUGCGAGCGUUAAUCGGACGUGCUGGGCGGAAUUUGUGCGCCAGCGGUUAAGUCCCCGGGCUCAACCUGGGAAUGGCAUUUGGGACUGCAAGGCUGGAGUGUGGCAGAGGUGACUAGAAUUCCUGGUGUAGCAGUGAAAUGCGUAGAUAUCAGGAGGAAUACCGAUGGCGAAGGCAGGUCCCUGGGUUAACACUGACGCUCAUGCACGAAAGCGUGGGGAGCAAACAGGAUUAGAUACCCGAGUAGUC
Molecule: ribosomal RNA, 449 nt
Filed under: uncultured bacterium
Lineage: Bacteria
Description: partial 16S ribosomal RNA
Rfam family: Bacterial small subunit ribosomal RNA
Source: RNAcentral